UACGUAGGUGGCAAGCGUUGUCCGGAAUUAUUGGGCGUAAAGCGCGCGCAGGCGGUCUCUUAAGUCUGAUGUGAAAGCCCACGGCUCAACCGUGGAGGGUCAUUGGAAACUGGGGGACUUGAGUGCAGAAGAGGAAAGUGGAAUUCCACGUGUAGCGGUGAAAUGCGUAGAGAUGUGGAGGAACACCAGUGGCGAAGGCGACUUUCUGGUUUGUAACUGACGCUGAGGCGCGAAAGCGUGGGGAGCAAACAGG
RNAcentral lists this ribosomal RNA (253 nucleotides) under uncultured bacterium. RNAcentral describes it as "partial 16S ribosomal RNA". It matches the Rfam family "Bacterial small subunit ribosomal RNA", at positions 524 to 776 of the family's 1533-position model. The record is from RNAcentral.